This 70-nucleotide microRNA precursor is filed under the name Procavia capensis (Cape rock hyrax). RNAcentral describes it as "miRNA (ENSPCAG00000020119.1)". It matches the Rfam family "mir-483 microRNA precursor family". Lineage: Eukaryota; Metazoa; Chordata; Mammalia; Hyracoidea; Procaviidae. The record is from RNAcentral.
GGAGAGGGUGGGAGGGAAGGAGGGCGUGGUCUCGCUAUAGCUCCUCACUCCUCCCCUCCCGUCUUCUUCU